This is a long non-coding RNA of Pecten maximus, 605 nucleotides long. RefSeq lists it as uncharacterized. The record is from RefSeq and is a predicted model, not a curated record. The transcript has 3 exons. NCBI's taxonomy places the organism in Eukaryota, Metazoa, Mollusca, Bivalvia, Pectinida, Pectinidae.
UCACUUUGUGUCUGGUAGGGGGAGAGUUUAAUACAGGUCUCCUGUAGUACUCACUUUGUGUCUGGUAGGGGGAGAGUUUAAUACAGGUCUCCUGUAGUACUCACUUUGUGUCUGGUAGGGGAUCAGGGAGAGUUUAAUACAGGUCUCCUGUAGUACUCACUUUGUGUCUGGUAGGGGAUCAUGGGAGAGUUUAAUACAGGUCUCCUGUAGUACUCACUUUGUGUCUGGUAGGGGGAGAGUUUAAUACAGGUCUCCUGUAGUACUCACUUUGUGUCUGGUAGGGGGAGAGUUUAAUACAGGUCUCCUGUAGUACUCACUUUGUGACUGGUAGGGGGAGAGUUUAAUACAGGUCUCCUGUAGUACUCACUUUGUGUCUGGUAGGGGGAGAGUUUAAUACAGGUCUCCUGUAGUACUCACUUUGUGUCUGGUAGGGGAUCAUGGGAGAGUUUAAUACAGGUCUCCUGUAGUACUCACUUUGUGUCUGGUAGGGGGAGAGUUUAAUACAGGUCUCCUGUAGUACUCACUUUGUGUCUGGUAGGGGAGAGUUUAAUACAGGUCUCCUGUAGUACUCGCUUUGUGUCUGGUAGGGGAUCAUGGGAGAGUUU